GGAGCUUGCUUCCUGGUGGCGAGCGGCGGACGGGUGAGUAAUGCAUAGGAAUCUGCCCGGUAGUGGGGGAUAACCUGGGGAAACCCAGGCUAAUACCGCAUACGCCCUACGGGGGAAAGCAGGGGCUCUUCGGACCUUGCGCUAUCGGAUGAGCCUAUGUCGGAUUAGCUAGUUGGUGAGGUAAUGGCUCACCAAGGCGACGAUCCGUAGCUGGUCUGAGAGGAUGAUCAGCCACAUCGGGACUGAGACACGGCCCGAACUCCUACGGGAGGCAGCAGUGGGGAAUAUUGGACAAUGGGGGCAACCCUGAUCCAGCCAUGCCGCGUGUGUGAAGAAGGCCCUCGGGUUGUAAAGCACUUUCAGUGAGGAAGAAGGCCUUGGGCUUAAUACGCCCAAGGAAGGACAUCACUCACAGAAGAAGCACCGGCUAACUCCGUGCCAGCAGCCGCGGUAAUACGGAGGGUGCGAGCGUUAAUCGGAAUUACUGGGCGUAAAGCGCGCGUAGGUGGCUUGAUAAGCCGGUUGUGAAAGCCCCGGGCUCAACCUGGGAACGGCAUCCGGAACUGUCAGGCUAGAGUGCAGGAGAGGAAGGUAGAAUUCCCGGUGUAGCGGUGAAAUGCGUAGAGAUCGGGAGGAAUACCAGUGGCGAAGGCGGCCUUCUGGACUGACACUGACACUGAGGUGCGAAAGCGUGGGUAGCAAACAGGAUUAGAUACCCUGGUAGUCCACGCCGUAAACGAUGUCGACUAGCCGUUGGGAGCCUUGAGUUCUUAGUGGCGCAGUUAACGCGAUAAGUCGACCGCCUGGGGAGUACGGCCGCAAGGUUAAAACUCAAAUGAAUUGACGGGGGCCCGCACAAGCGGUGGAGCAUGUGGUUUAAUUCGAUGCAACGCGAAGAACCUUACCUACCCUUGACAUCCUCGGAAUCUGCCGGAGACGGCGGAGUGCCUUCGGGAACCGAGUGACAGGUGCUGCAUGGCUGUCGUCAGCUCGUGUUGUGAAAUGUUGGGUUAAGUCCCGUAACGAGCGCAACCCCUGUCCCUAUUUGCCAGCGAUUCGGUCGGGAACUCUAGGGAGACUGCCGGUGACAAACCGGAGGAAGGUGGGGACGACGUCAAGUCAUCAUGGCCCUUACGGGUAGGGCUACACACGUGCUACAAUGGCAGGUACAAAGGGUUGCAAGACGGCGACGUGGAGCUAAUCCCAUAAAGCCUGCCUCAGUUCGGAUCGGAGUCUGCAACUCGACUCCGUGAAGUCGGAAUCGCUAGUAAUCGUGAAUCAGAAUGUCACGGUGAAUACGUUCCCGGGCCUUGUACACACCGCCCGUCACACCAUGGGAGUGGACUGCACCAGAAGUGGUAGCUUAACCCUCGGGAGAGCG
This 1381-nucleotide ribosomal RNA is filed under the name Halomonas sp. RNAcentral describes it as "bacterial SSU rRNA". It matches the Rfam family "Bacterial small subunit ribosomal RNA", at positions 75 to 1452 of the family's 1533-position model. Lineage: Bacteria; Pseudomonadati; Pseudomonadota; Gammaproteobacteria; Oceanospirillales; Halomonadaceae. The record is from RNAcentral.